GAAAUGCGAUAAGUAAUGUGAAUUGCAGAAUUCAGUGAAUCAUCGAAUCUUUGAACGCACAUUGCGCCCGCCAGCACUCUGGCGGGCAUGCCUGUUCGAGCGUCAUUUCAACCCUCAGAACCCCUUGCGGGAUCUGGCGUUGGGGAUUGGCAUCCAGCCAGCCCCGAAAUCUAGUGGCGGUCCCUCCGCGACCUCCCCUGUGCAGUAGCGAUACCUCGCAGCGGGACAGCGGUCUGACCACGCCGUAAAACCCCCAACUUCUCAAGGUUGACCUCGAAUCAGGUAUGAAUACCCGCUGAACUUAAGC
RNAcentral lists this unclassified non-coding RNA (307 nucleotides) under plant metagenome. RNAcentral describes it as "partial contains 5.8S ribosomal RNA, internal transcribed spacer 2, and large subunit ribosomal RNA". The stretch from base 1 to 105 matches the Rfam family "5.8S ribosomal RNA", at positions 50 to 154 of the family's 154-position model. The record is from RNAcentral.